Molecule: long non-coding RNA, 1446 nt
Organism: Columba livia (rock pigeon)
Lineage: Eukaryota; Metazoa; Chordata; Aves; Columbiformes; Columbidae
Exons: 4
Source: RefSeq, a predicted model, not a curated record
AUGUGUCACAGCUUCACGCUCAGUAUUUGGAGCUGGAUAUUGUAGAACAUUAUUAAUAGUCCUUGGUUUUACUCUGUAUGAAUUUGACAUAUGCUUUCAAGAAUGCUGAGCCUCCUCCCACCACCUUGAGGUGCAGAUUACAGCUAACACAUGGCACCAGCUGCUGCAAGGGUGCAGAGCUGCCUUUCAAAAGCAGAGGGAGUUGCCCAGUGGAUCUAUUUGCCAGUGGCCACACAGGGAGCACGUGAAAGAAGAGGCCUAAAAGCAUGAUAAAGCAAAUGGUUUGAAACCUACUUGGCAAAUGACUACUCAAUUGAAGAUAACUAUGUAUAUGCAGAGAGCCUGUAGGGAAUGGAGGAGACGGAUUGACCAGCAAAUAAAUUCACUUCAGAAGUCAGCUUAGAAAAAAGGUUGAACUGAAAAAGGAGACAGGUCAUUCCAAUAAAUAACCAGAAGAGCCCUGAAAAAUUGCUACACUAGGGCAAAAAUUAGGGUUAUUUUUUUAAAGACUGAAAGACUUAGUGCAUGAGAUGGCGUGUGUUAUGCUAGGAAUUUCUAAUAGGUAUACUGCUUUAGAAACAGAUUUUUAGUUUCCUUUAAUAUUGUGACCUACAGCACAGAUCUGUGCAGUGGCCAUCUUAAUUGAACAAUCAAACAAACAGUGUGAUUUAUUCCUCAUACUGUCCUGAACUGUUUAAUUCUCUGGUGAUCUAACGGUCAUAAGUUCUACAGAGAGCAUCACUUACUCACUGUUCUUGCAGUAUGUCUUGUCACUUCUGGGGAGACCCAUUUCAAGGGUGUUGUAACAUCACAGCUGUGUCAGGCAGGGAAAGACCAGUUUGGCUUGAAGUUAUCACUUUUGUGCUCUGUGCUGCAUUUUUGUUUGUGUUCCAACAUGUACCUAUUAUUUAUUUUGGCUCUUGAUGUUCAUGGGUUACAUGUUACCUUAUUUCAUAACUUACUCUGUGGAAAAUGGGUACAGAAUGUUACAAUUCUAAUUUAAUAUCAUUUUACAAUAAUCUUAAACUAUCGAGUUUUUAGAUGUCGUGUAUAUGAAAUCUCCCUCCUCAUUUUCUUCUAACAUAAGAAGGGACAAGUAAUUGGUUUGUGAAAUAAAGAAGUCCCAUGUCCCUGUCAAAACAAAAUUAAAGUACAAGGCUCUUGCUUGAUGUUCUUUCUGAGUGUGAUUUUUAUCUGUAAGUUUUAAUGGGGUCCUUCAUGCUGGAAACAUCUUUGGAGACAAGUGAAAAUAAUCUGUCAGUUGCCAUGGACACAUCUAUGUGAAAACCUCAUGUUCGUCUUAUUCUGUGUGACUGCACGCUGAUACGUGCUGUAUAGAACAGACUGAGCAUCCCCAACUUAAUUCCUAAUAUGCACUGUGACUUUUAUGCAACUCCCUAUACAGCUAAUUUACAUGGCUUGCUUUCAUUGCAGUCUCUAUCAAUU